CGGGGUGUAGCGCAAUUGGUAGCGUACGUGGUUUGGGACCAUGGGGUUGCAGGUUCGAGUCCUGUCACUCCGACCA
This 76-nucleotide transfer RNA is filed under the name Clostridia bacterium. RNAcentral's name for it is "tRNA-Pro". It matches the Rfam family "tRNA". From Rfam's summary of the family: Transfer RNA (tRNA) molecules are approximately 80 nucleotides in length. Their secondary structure includes four short double-helical elements and three loops (D, anti-codon, and T loops). The record is from RNAcentral. Lineage: Bacteria; Bacillati; Bacillota; Clostridia.